RNAcentral lists this ribosomal RNA (433 nucleotides) under uncultured bacterium. Its description in RNAcentral is "partial 16S ribosomal RNA". It matches the Rfam family "Bacterial small subunit ribosomal RNA", at positions 29 to 507 of the family's 1533-position model. The record is from RNAcentral.
AACGAACGCUGGCGGCAGGCCUAACACAUGCAAGUCGAGCGAGGACUUCGGUCCUAGCGGCGGACGGGUGCGUAACGCGUGGGAACGUGCCCUUUGCUUCGGAAUAGCCCUGGGAAACUGGGAGUAAUACCGGAUGAGCCCCUUGGGGGAAAGAUUUAUCGGCGAAGGAUCGGCCCGCGUUGGAUUAGGGAGUUGGUGGGGUAAUGGCCUACCAAGCCGACGAUCCAUAGCUGGUUUGAGAGGAUGAUCAGCCACACUGGGACUGAGACACGGCCCAGACUCCUACGGGAGGCAGCAGUGGGGAAUCUUAGACAAUGGGGGAAACCCUGAUCUAGCCAUGCCGCGUGAGCGAUGAAGGCCUUAGGGUUGUAAAGCUCUUCCAGCUGGGAAGAUAAUGACGGUACCAGCAGAAGAAGCCCCGGCUAACUCCGUG